AGUGAACGCUGGCGGCAGGCCUAACACAUGCAAGUCGAACGGCAGCACAGGGGGGCUUGCUCCCUGGGUGGCGAGUGGCGGACGGGUGAGGAAUACGUCGGAAUCUGCCCAGUCGUGGGGGAUAACUUAGGGAAACUUAAGCUAAUACCGCAUACGACCUUCGGGUGAAAGCGGAGGACCUUCGGGCUUCGCGCGAUUGGAUGAGCCGACGUCGGAUUAGCUAGUUGGUGGGGUAAAGGCCUACCAAGGCGACGAUCCGUAGCUGGUCUGAGAGGAUGAUCAGCCACACUGGAACUGAGACACGGUCCAGACUCCUACGGGAGGCAGCAGUGGGGAAUAUUGGACAAUGGGCGCAAGCCUGAUCCAGCCAUGCCGCGUGAGUGAAGAAGGCCCUCGGGUUGUAAAGCUCUUUUGUCCGGAAAGAAAAGCUUUCGGUUAAUACCCGGAAGUCAUGACGGUACCGGAAGAAUAAGCACCGGCUAACUUCGUGCCAGCAGCCGCGGUAAUACGAAGGGUGCAAGCGUUACUCGGAAUUACUGGGCGUAAAGCGUGCGUAGGUGGUUCGUUAAGUCUGAUGUGAAAGCCCUGGGCUCAACCUGGGAAUUGCAUUGGAUACUGGCGGGCUAGAGUACGGUAGAGGGUGGCGGAAUUCCCGGUGUAGCAGUGAAAUGCGUAGAGAUCGGGAGGAACAUCUGUGGCGAAGGCGGCCACCUGGACCAGUACUGACACUGAGGCACGAAAAGCGUGGGGGAGCAAACAGGAUUAGAUACCCUGGUAG
RNAcentral lists this ribosomal RNA (778 nucleotides) under uncultured bacterium. RNAcentral describes it as "bacterial SSU rRNA". It matches the Rfam family "Bacterial small subunit ribosomal RNA", at positions 28 to 793 of the family's 1533-position model. The record is from RNAcentral.